This 238-nucleotide long non-coding RNA is filed under the name Elaeis guineensis (African oil palm). Its description in RNAcentral is "long non-coding RNA (EGUI_LNC004717)". The record is from RNAcentral. Lineage: Eukaryota; Viridiplantae; Streptophyta; Magnoliopsida; Arecales; Arecaceae.
GGCUUCUUGGUCUCUUAGGUCUCAAUCUCCAUAAUAGAAGGUUUUGGUGGUGGAGGAUCAAGCAAUUUCAUCUCAGUUGCAAUCCAAAGACCUAGGGACUGGUGAUUCUUUUGAUCAACAAGUGUCCUCUAGUCAGGAUGUAUCUGCUUCUUCCAAAGAGGGUAAGCCUUCUUCUAAUCAUUAUUCAUUUUGUACUUUUAUUAACAUACUCUGCUAGGUAUAGUGACUCAAGAGGGCC